UGUUAGAUGGUCUUUGUUGUAAUGGGAAAGUAGAGAAGGCAUUGAUGAUAUUCGAAUACAUGCGGAAGAGAGAGAUGGAUA
This 81-nucleotide small RNA is filed under the name Arabidopsis thaliana (thale cress). Its description in RNAcentral is "ATSL140250". The record is from RNAcentral. Lineage: Eukaryota; Viridiplantae; Streptophyta; Magnoliopsida; Brassicales; Brassicaceae.